GACGAACGCUGGCGGCGUGCUUAACACAUGCAAGUCGAACGAGCAUCUUCGGGUGCUAGUGGCGAACGGGUGAGUAACACGUGAGCAACCUGCCCCUGGCUCUGGGAUAGCCUCCGGAAACGGGGAUUAAUACCGGACAUGACCUGCUGCGGCAUCGCGGCGGGUGGAAAGUUUUUCGGCCAGGGUGGGGCUCGCGGCCUAUCAGCUUGUUGGGGGGGUAACGGCCCACCAAGGCGACGACGGGUAGCCGGCCUGAGAGGGCGACCGGCCACACUGGGACUGAGACACGGCCCAGACUCCUGCGGGAGGCAGCAGUGGGGAAUAUUGCACAAUGGGGGAAACCCUGACGCAGCGACGCCGCGUGCGGGAUGAAGGCCUUCGGGUUGUAAACCGCUUUCAGCAGGGGCGAAUUUUGACGGUACCUGCAGAAGAAGCGCCGGCUAACUACGUGCCAGCAGCCGCCGUAACAC
Molecule: ribosomal RNA, 470 nt
Filed under: uncultured bacterium
Lineage: Bacteria
Description: bacterial SSU rRNA
Rfam family: Bacterial small subunit ribosomal RNA
Source: RNAcentral